UCGGGAAUUUUGGGCAAUGGGCGAAACCCUGACCCAGCAACGCCGCGUGAAGGAUGAAGUAUUUCGGUAUGCAAACUUCGAAAGAAUAGGAAGAAUAAAUGACGGUACUAUUUAUAAGGUCCGGCUAACUACGUGCCAGCAGCCGCGGUAAUACGUAGGGACCAAGCGUUGUUCGGAUUUACUGGGCGUAAAGGGCGCGUAGGCGGCAUGACAAGUCACUUGUGAAAUCUCUGGGCUUAACCCAGAACGGCCAAGUGAUACUGUCGCGCUAGAGUGCAGAAGGGGCAAUCGGAAUUCUUGGUGUAGCGGUGAAAUGCGUAGAUAUCAAGAGGAACACCUGAGGUGAAGACGGGUUGCUGGGCUGACACUGACGCUGAGGCGCGAAAGCCAGGGGAGCAAACGGGAUUAGAUACCCAUGUAGUCCCUGAGCGGGCUGGCAAGGCGCAU
This 447-nucleotide ribosomal RNA is filed under the name uncultured bacterium. Its description in RNAcentral is "bacterial SSU rRNA". It matches the Rfam family "Bacterial small subunit ribosomal RNA", at positions 355 to 825 of the family's 1533-position model. The record is from RNAcentral.